Molecule: ribosomal RNA, 253 nt
Filed under: uncultured bacterium
Lineage: Bacteria
Description: partial 16S ribosomal RNA
Rfam family: Bacterial small subunit ribosomal RNA
Source: RNAcentral
UACAGAGGUGGCAAGCGUUGUUCGGAAUUACUGGGCGUAAAGGGCGCGUAGGCGGUCUUUUAAGUCUUGUGUGAAAUCCCUCGGCUCAACUGAGGAACUGCACGGGAUACUGGAAGACUUGAGUUCGGGAGAGGGAAGCGGAAUUCCGGGUGUAGCGGUGAAAUGCGUAGAGAUUUGGAGGAACACCAGUGGCGAAGGCGACUUUCUGGUCUGUAACUGACGCUGAGGCGCGAAAGCGUGGGGAGCAAACAGG